GAUGAACGCUGGCGGCGUGCCUAAUACAUGCAAGUCGAGCGAACAGACGAGGAGCUUGCUCCUCUGACGUUAGCGGCGGACGGGUGAGUAACACGUGGAUAACCUACCUAUAAGACUGGGAUAACUUCGGGAAACCGGAGCUAAUACCGGAUAAUAUAUUGAACCGCAUGGUUCAAUAGUGAAAGACGGUUUUGCUGUCACUUAUAGAUGGAUCCGCGCCGCAUUAGCUAGUUGGUAAGGUAACGGCUUACCAAGGCAACGAUGCGUAGCCGACCUGAGAGGGUGGUCGGCCACACUGGAACUGAGACACGGUCCAGACUCCUACGGGAGGCAGCAGUAGGGAAUCUUCCGCGAUGGGCGAAAGCCUGACGGAGCAACGCCGCGUGAGUGAUGAAGGUCUUCGGAUCGUAAAACGCUGUUAUUAGGGAAGAACAAAUGUGUAAGUAACUAUGCACGUCUUGACGGUACCUAAUCAGAAAGCCACGGCUAACUACGUG
Molecule: ribosomal RNA, 497 nt
Filed under: uncultured bacterium
Lineage: Bacteria
Description: partial 16S ribosomal RNA
Rfam family: Bacterial small subunit ribosomal RNA
Source: RNAcentral